AAGACAGACGAAGAGCCAGGUUGGAACGCCACCAGAGGACCCAGGAGCGUGUGGCUAAAGCACUAGCUGAGAAGAAUGAGAGGGACCUUCAAACUCAGAGGGAACAAGCCGAGAGACAUUGGAUUGCGGAAACACUGGAUGCUGAGAUCAAGCGUUGGGCUUCAGGGAAAGAUGG
Quercus robur (English oak) is the source of this 175-nucleotide long non-coding RNA. RefSeq lists it as uncharacterized. The transcript has 3 exons. The record is from RefSeq and is a predicted model, not a curated record. NCBI's taxonomy places the organism in Eukaryota, Viridiplantae, Streptophyta, Magnoliopsida, Fagales, Fagaceae.